RNAcentral lists this ribosomal RNA (305 nucleotides) under uncultured bacterium. Its description in RNAcentral is "bacterial SSU rRNA". It matches the Rfam family "Bacterial small subunit ribosomal RNA", at positions 335 to 658 of the family's 1533-position model. The record is from RNAcentral.
UUUCCUACGGGGCGCAGCAGUGGGGGAUAUUGCACAAUGGGGGGAACCCUGAUGCAGCGACGCCGCGUGGGUGAAGAAGCGCCUCGGCGCGUAAAGCCCUGUCAGCAGGGAAGAAAAUGACGGUACCUGAAGAAGAAGCCCCGGCUAACUACGUGCCAGCAGCCGCGGUAAUACGGAGGAUGCGAGCGUUAUCCGGAUUUAUUGGGUUUAAAGGGUGCGUAGGCGGUCUGUUAAGUCAGCGGUAAAAUUGCGGGGCUCAACCCCGUCGAGCCGUUGAAACUGGCAGACUUGAGUUGGCGAGAAGU